UGCCAGCAGCCGCGGUAAUACGGAGGGGGCUAGCGUUGUUCGGAAUUACUGGGCGUAAAGCGCGCGUAGGCGGGCUGUUAAGUCGGGGGUGAAAUCCCGGGGCUCAACCCCGGAACUGCCUUCGAUACUGGCAGCCUAGAGAUCUGGAGAGGCGAGUGGAAUUCCGAGUGUAGAGGUGAAAUUCGUAGAUAUUCGGUGGAACACCAGUGGCGAAGGCGGCUAACUGGACUGAUACUGACGCUGAGGUGCGAAAGUGUGGGGAGCAAACAGGAUUAGAUA
RNAcentral lists this ribosomal RNA (279 nucleotides) under uncultured bacterium. RNAcentral describes it as "partial 16S ribosomal RNA". It matches the Rfam family "Bacterial small subunit ribosomal RNA", at positions 506 to 784 of the family's 1533-position model. The record is from RNAcentral.